Molecule: long non-coding RNA, 776 nt
Filed under: Selaginella moellendorffii
Lineage: Eukaryota; Viridiplantae; Streptophyta; Lycopodiopsida; Selaginellales; Selaginellaceae
Source: RNAcentral
ACCAAAGGGAACGACUCGAGAGACGGUCCAUAGGGGUUCAAAUAUAGAGGGAAAGGGCCCAUGAAUAAGAGUGCACCCCCUUUUCCAAUCGGUUAAGGGUCUUGGGAUAGUUGGAGUUAAGCGUCCUUGGGUUUGAAUAGUACUGGGCUGGGUGACCUCCCAGGAAGUCCAAACUUAAGAGCUUACAUUUGGUAUCAGAGCGGUCUCGGGUCCGACUCUGUUGGUUGGCUAAAGGAAUCACACCACAUGUUGAUUGACAUCUGGCUGGUCCAGUUUGUUCCCACUGGGCUCGACCCGAGGGGUAGGGUGUCAAGAGAGCGAGGCUCUCGGGAGAGUUGCGGCUCUCAGCUUCUGUUCACGAGGGCGUGAACUUGCAGGGAAGCAUGGUGGAUUGUAAGCAACCAAAGGGAACGACUCGAGAGACGAUCCGUUAGGGUUCAAAUAUAAAGGAAAAGGGCCCAUGAACAAGAGUGCACCCCCUUUUCCAAUCGGUUAAGGGUCUUGGGAUAGUUGGAGUUAAGCGUCCUUGGGUUUGAAUAGUACUGGGCUGGGUGACCUCUCGGGAAGUCCAAAUUCAGGGAGCUUACAGUUGUGUCUUACAUUGGCUAGUGACAAAAACCUUUGUGUAUUGAGCACUAGUUCCUCAAUAUCAUAACUUACCAUGUUCACCAAACACCUUCACUAUCAUGCCUUUGUAAGCAACCAAAAAGAAGACUUAAGAGACAAUCCAUAGGGGUUCAAAUAUAGAGGGAAAAGGCUCAUGAACAAGAGUGCAC